UAUAGCGUGGUCGACUGUAUAAACGCAGAACUGAGAUCCAGUAAAACUAGAACUGAUAUUAGUCACUUUAGUCAGAACCGGUUCAGUGCUGUGGUUCUGACUGCGGUUCUGUCUGCGGUUCUGUCUGUGGUUCUGUCUGCGGUUCUGUCUGCGGUUCUGUCUGCGGUUCUGUCUGCGGUUCCGUCUGCGGUUCUGUCUGCAGUUCUGUCUGUGGUUCUGUCUGCGGUUCUGUCUGCGGUUCUGUCUGCGGUUCUGUCUGCGGUUCCGUCUGCGGUUCUGUCUGCAGUUCUGUCUGCGGUUCUGUCUGUGGUUCUGUCUGCGGUUCUGUCUGUGGUUCUGUCUGCGGUUCUGUCUGCGGUUCCGUCUGCGGUUCUGUCUGCGGUUCUGUCUGCGGUUCUGUCUGUGGUUCUGUCUGUGGUUCUGUCUGUGGUUCUGUCUGCGGUUCUGUCUGUGGUUCUGUCUGCGGUUCUGUCUGUGGUUCUGUCUGUGGUUCUGUCUGUAGUUCUGUUGUGGUUCUGUUUGUGGUUCUGUCUGUGGUUCUGUCUGCAGUUCUGUCUGCAGUUCUGUCUGCGGUUCUGUCUGCGGUUCUGUCUGCGGUUCUGUCUGUGGUUCUGUCUGUGGGUCUGUCUGUGGUUCUGUCUGUGGUUCUGUCUGUGGUUCUGUCUGUGGUUCUGUCUGUGGUUCUGUCUGCGGUUCUGUCUGCGGUUCUGUCUGUGGUUCUGUCUGUGGUUCUGUCUGUGGUUCUGUCUGUGGUUCUGUCUGCGGUUCUGUCUGCGGUUCUGUCUGUGGUUCUGUCUGUGGUUCUGUCUGCGGUUCUGUCUGCGGUUCUGUCUGUGGUUCUGUCUGUGGUUCUGUCUGUGGUUCUGUCUGUGGUUCUGUCUGUGGUUCUGUCUGCGGUUCUGUCUGUGUUCUGUCUGUGGUUCUGUCUGUGGUUCUGUCUGUGGUUCUGUCUGUGGUUCUGUCUGUAGUUCUGUCAUAUCAGUUGUUUUCAUUAAGGAUUCAUUGAUCUGA
This 1011-nucleotide long non-coding RNA is filed under the name Oryzias javanicus (javanese ricefish). RNAcentral describes it as "lncRNA (ENSOJAG00000021216.1)". Lineage: Eukaryota; Metazoa; Chordata; Actinopteri; Beloniformes; Adrianichthyidae. The record is from RNAcentral.